RNAcentral lists this long non-coding RNA (748 nucleotides) under Salmo salar (Atlantic salmon). RNAcentral's name for it is "lncRNA (ENSSSAG00000106964.1)". Lineage: Eukaryota; Metazoa; Chordata; Actinopteri; Salmoniformes; Salmonidae. The record is from RNAcentral.
AUAUCACCCCUCCCCUAGUCAAAUAUCACCCCUCCCCUAGUCAAAUAUCCCCCCUCCCCUAGUCAAAUAUCCCCCCUCCCCUAGUCAAAUAUCACCCCGUCCCCUAUCAAAUAUCACCCCUCCCCUAGUCAAAUAUCACCCCACCCCUAGUCAAAUAUCACCCCUCCCCUAGUCAAAUAUCCCCCCUCCCCUAGUGAAAUAUCACCCCUCCCCUAGUCAAAUAUCCCCCUCCCCUAGUCAAAUAUCCCCCCUCCCCUAGUCAAAUAUCACCCCUCCCCUAGUCAAAUAUCACCCCACCCCUAGUCAAAUAUCACCCCUCCCCUAGUCAAAUAUCCCCCCUCCCCUAGUGAAAUAUCACCCCUCCCCUAGUCAAAUAAUCCCCCUCCCCUAGUCAAAUAUCACCCCUCCCCUAGUCAAAUAUCACCCCUCCCCUAGUCAAAUAUCACCCCUCCCCUCGUCAAAUAUCACCCCUCCCCUAUCAAAUAUCCCCCCUCCCCUAGUCAAAUAUCCCCCCUCCCCUAGUCAAAUAUCACCCCGUCCCCUAGUCAAAUAUCACCCCACCCCUAGUCAAAUAUCACCCCUCCCCUAGUCAAAUAUCACCCCUCCCCUAGUCAAAUAUCACCCCUCCCCUAGUCAAAUAUCCCCCCUCCCCUAGUCAAAUAUCCCCCCUCCCCUAGUCAAAUAUCACCCCUCCCCUAGUCAAAUAUCAACCUCCCCUAGUCAAAUAUCACCCCUCCCCUAGUCAAAU